UCCAGAGAACUUGGCAGAGAUGCCUUGGUGCCUUCGGGAACUCUGAGACAGGUGCUGCAUGGCUGUCGUCAGCUCGUGUUGUGAAAUGUUGGGUUAAGUCCCGCAACGAGCGCAACCCCCUAUCCUUUGUUGCCAGCGAUUCGGUCGGGAACUCAAAGGAGACUGCCGGUGAUAAACCGGAGGAAGGUGGGGAUGACGUCAAGUCAUCAUGGCCCUUACGAGUAGGGCUACACACGUGCUACAAUGGCGUAUACAAAGAGAAGCGACCUCGCGAGAGCAAGCGGACCUCAUAAAGUACGUCGUAGUCCGGAUUGGAGUCUGCAACUCGACUCCAUGAAGUCGGAAUCGCUAGUAAUCGUAGAUCAGAAUGCUACGGUGAAUACGUUCCCGGGCCUUGUACACACCGCCCGUCACACCAUGGGAGUGGGUUGCAAAAGAAGUAGAUAGCUUAACCUUCGGGAGGGCGUUUACCACUUUGUGAUUCAUGACUGGGGUGAAGUCGUAACAAGGUAGGCGUACGUGU
Molecule: ribosomal RNA, 523 nt
Filed under: uncultured bacterium
Lineage: Bacteria
Description: bacterial SSU rRNA
Rfam family: Bacterial small subunit ribosomal RNA
Source: RNAcentral